GCAAAAUGACUCCGUAACUUUGGGAGAAGGAGGGUCUUGACAGGUGAAGGGGCGAGCCUCCGGAGCCUGACGAGACCGCAGAGAAACGGCCCUACUGACUGUUUACCAAAAACCCAUGUCUCUGCUAAAGCGAAAGCUGAAGUAUAAGGGCUGACACCUGCCCAGUGCCGGAAGGUUAAAGGGAGAGGUUAGCGCAAGCGAAGCUUUGAACUGAAGCCCCGGUGAACGGCGGCCGUAACUAUAACGGUCCUAAGGUAGCGAAAUUCCUUGUCGGGUAAGUUCCGACCCGCACGAAUGGUGUAACAAGUGGGGCGCUGUCUCAACGAGGGACCCGGCGAAAUUGAAAUAGGCGUGGAGAUGCGUCUUACCCGCAGCAGGACAAAAAGACCCCGUGGAGCUUUACUGCAGCCUGAUAUUGAGCUAGGGCUUUGUCUGUGUAGGAUAGGUGGGAGACUGGGAAGCUGGGGCGCUAGCCUCGGUGGAGUCAACGUUGAAAUACCACCCUGAUUGAGUUUUGGCCCUAACCCUCAGCCGUGAUCCGGCGAGGGGACAGUUUCAGGUGGGCAGUUUGACUGGGGCGGUCGCCUCCCAAAAGGUAACGGAGGCGCCCAAAGGUUCCCUCAGGCUGAAUGGAAACCAGCCCAAGAGUGUAAAGGCACAAGGGAGCUUGACUGCGAGACACACAGGUCGAGCAGAGACGAAAGUCAGGCUUAGUGAUCUCACGACUCCGCGUGGAAGGGUCGUGACUUAUCGGAUAAAAGCUACCCCGGGGAUAACAGGCUAGUCUUGCCCAAGAGUUCACAUCGACGGCAAGGUUCGGCACCUCGAUGUCGGCUCGUCGCAUCCUGGGGCCGGAGAAGGUCCCAAGGGUUGGGCUGUUCGCCCAUUAAAGCGGUACGCGAGCUGGGUUCAGAACGUCGUGAGACAGUUCGGUCUCUAUCCGCUGUGGGCGCAGGUGACUUGAGAGGAGCUGUCCCUAGUACGAGAGGACCGGGAUGGACAAACCGCUGGUGUGCCAGUUGUACCGCCAGGUGCAUAGCUGGGUAGCCACGUUUGGCAGGGAUAACCGCUGAAAGCAUCUAAGUGGGAAGCCCGCCUCAGGAUAAGGUCACCCACUGGGAAACCAGGUAAGACCCCUGGAAGACCACCAGGUAGAUAGGCGGCAUGUGUACAGGCAGCAAUGUCUUGAGCAAAGCCGUACUGAUGGUCGAGGGCUUAAUCAC
This 1223-nucleotide ribosomal RNA is filed under the name metagenome. Its description in RNAcentral is "bacterial LSU rRNA". It matches the Rfam family "Bacterial large subunit ribosomal RNA", at positions 1717 to 2925 of the family's 2925-position model. The record is from RNAcentral.